RNAcentral lists this ribosomal RNA (253 nucleotides) under uncultured bacterium. RNAcentral describes it as "partial 16S ribosomal RNA". It matches the Rfam family "Bacterial small subunit ribosomal RNA", at positions 524 to 776 of the family's 1533-position model. The record is from RNAcentral.
UACGGGGGGGGCAAGCGUUGUUCGGAAUUACUGGGCGUAAAGCGUGCGCAGGCGGUGAUGUAAGACAGUUGUGAAAUCCCCGGGCUCAACCUGGGAACUGCAUCUGUGACUGCAUCGCUGGAGUGCGGCAGAGGGGGAUGGAAUUCCGCGUGUAGCAGUGAAAUGCGUAGAUAUGCGGAGGAACACCGAUGGCGAAGGCAGCCCCCUGGGCCUGAAUUGACGCUGAUGCACGAAAGCGUGGGGAGCAAACAGG